This 476-nucleotide ribosomal RNA is filed under the name uncultured organism. Its description in RNAcentral is "partial 16S ribosomal RNA". It matches the Rfam family "Bacterial small subunit ribosomal RNA", at positions 332 to 799 of the family's 1533-position model. The record is from RNAcentral.
UACACUCCUACGGGAGGCAGCAGUGGGGAAUUUUGGACAAUGGGCGAAAGCCUGAUCCAGCCAUGCCGCGUGCAGGAUGAAGGCCUUCGGGUUGUAAACUGCUUUUGUACGGAACGAAACGGCCUUUUCUAAUAAAGAGGGCUAAUGACGGUACCGUAAGAAUAAGCACCGGCUAACUACGUGCCAGCAGCCGCGGUAAUACGUAGGGUGCAAGCGUUAAUCGGAAUUACUGGGCGUAAAGCGUGCGCAGGCGGUUAUGUAAGACAGUUGUGAAAUCCCCGGGCUCAACCUGGGAACUGCAUCUGUGACUGCAUAGCUAGAGUACGGUAGAGGGGGAUGGAAUUCCGCGUGUAGCAGUGAAAUGCGUAGAUAUGCGGAGGAACACCGAUGGCGAAGGCAAUCCCCUGGACCUGUACUGACGCUCAUGCACGAAAGCGUGGGGAGCAAACAGGAUUAGAAACCCCGGUAGUCCCAUG